Molecule: ribosomal RNA, 253 nt
Filed under: uncultured bacterium
Lineage: Bacteria
Description: partial 16S ribosomal RNA
Rfam family: Bacterial small subunit ribosomal RNA
Source: RNAcentral
UACGUAGGGAGCAAGCGUUGUCCGGAAUCAUUGGGCGUAAAGAGCGCGUAGGUGGCCAUUUAAGUCCGCUGUGAAAGUCAAAGGCUCAACCUUUGAAAGCCGGUGGAUACUGGAUGGCUAGAGUACGGAAGAGGCGAGUGGAAUUCCUGGUGUAGCGGUGGAAUGCGCAGAUAUCAGGAGGAACACCAAUAGCGAAGGCAGCUCGCUGGGACGUUACUGACACUGAGGCGCGAAAGCGUGGGGAGCGAACAGG